CGCGGUAUUUUGACUGUGCGAAGGUAGCAUAAUCACUUGUUUUUUAAUUGGAGACUUGUAUGAAUGGCUGAACGAGAAAAUAACUGUCUCUUUUAAAAAUCUUGAAUUUUACUUUUUAGUGAAAAGGCUUAAAUAAUUUUAAGGGACGAUAAGACCCUAUAAAUCUUCAUAUUAUUUUUCUUUAAAUUUCAAAUUAUAUAUUAAAAGAAAAAAAGAAAAAAAUAUUAUAUUGGGGAGAUAAAAAUAUAAUUUUUAACUGUUUUAAACAUAGAACAAUAAUUUUUGAUUUACAAAUAUUGAUCCUUUUUAAAGAUUUUAAGAUCAAGUUACUUUAGGGAUAACAGCGUAAUUUUUUUUGAGAGUUCAUAUCGAAAAAAAAGUUUGCGACCUCGAUGUUGAAUUAAAAUAUCCUUAUAAGUGCAGAAGCUAUAAAGGAAAGUCUGUUCGACUUUUAAAAUUUUACGU
This 465-nucleotide ribosomal RNA is filed under the name Aegla jaragua. RNAcentral's name for it is "partial 16S ribosomal RNA". It matches the Rfam family "Bacterial large subunit ribosomal RNA", at positions 1932 to 2601 of the family's 2925-position model. The record is from RNAcentral. Lineage: Eukaryota; Metazoa; Arthropoda; Malacostraca; Decapoda; Aeglidae.